This 32-nucleotide non-coding RNA is filed under the name Mus musculus (house mouse). Lineage: Eukaryota; Metazoa; Chordata; Mammalia; Rodentia; Muridae. The record is from RNAcentral.
UUUGGUGUUGCAACGAAAAUGGUUUUGUCUCU